UGUCACGAUUCAGCCUAACAACUAGUA
This 27-nucleotide non-coding RNA is filed under the name Mus musculus (house mouse). The record is from RNAcentral. Lineage: Eukaryota; Metazoa; Chordata; Mammalia; Rodentia; Muridae.